Molecule: ribosomal RNA, 1411 nt
Filed under: Dolichospermum planctonicum
Lineage: Bacteria; Bacillati; Cyanobacteriota; Cyanophyceae; Nostocales; Aphanizomenonaceae
Description: bacterial SSU rRNA
Rfam family: Bacterial small subunit ribosomal RNA
Source: RNAcentral
GAUGAACGCUGGCGGUAUGCUUAACACAUGCAAGUCGAACGGUCUUUUAGGAGACAGUGGCGGACGGGUGAGUAACGCGUAAGAAUCUACCCUCAGGUCGGGGACAACCACUGGAAACGGUGGCUAAUACCGGAUGUGCCGAGAGGUGAAAGGCUUGCUGCCUGGGGAAGAGCUUGCGUCUGAUUAGCUAGUUGGUAGUGUAAGGGACUACCAAGGCGACGAUCAGUAGCUGGUCUGAGAGGAUGAUCAGCCACACUGGGACUGAGACACGGCCCAGACUCCUACGGGAGGCAGCAGUGGGGAAUUUUCCGCAAUGGGCGAAAGCCUGACGGAGCAAUACCGCGUGAGGGAGGAAGGCUCUUGGGUUGUAAACCUCUUUUCUCAGGGAAGAAAAAAAUGACGGUACCUGAGGAAUAAGCAUCGGCUAACUCCGUGCCAGCAGCCGCGGUAAUACGGAGGAUGCAAGCGUUAUCCGGAAUGAUUGGGCGUAAAGGGUCCGCAGGUGGCAUUGUAAGUCUGCUGUUAAAGAGUUUGGCUCAACCAAAUAAAAGCAGUGGAAACUACAAAGCUAGAGUUUGGUCGGGGCAGAGGGAAUUCCUGGUGUAGCGGUGAAAUGCGUAGAUAUCAGGAAGAACACCAGUGGCGAAGGCGCUCUGCUAGGCCGAGACUGACACUGAGGGACGAAAGCUAGGGGAGCGAAUGGGAUUAGAUACCCCAGUAGUCCUAGCCGUAAACGAUGGAUACUAGGCGUAGCUCGUAUCGACCCGAGCUGUGCCGGAGCUAACGCGUUAAGUAUCCCGCCUGGGGAGUACGCAGGCAACUGUGAAACUCAAAGGAAUUGACGGGGGCCCGCACAAGCGGUGGAGUAUGUGGUUUAAUUCGAUGCAACGCGAAGAACCUUACCAAGGCUUGACAUGUCACGAAUCCUGUGGAAACAUAGGAGUGCCUUCGGGAGCGUGAACACAGGUGGUGCAUGGCUGUCGUCAGCUCGUGUCGUGAGAUGUUGGGUUAAGUCCCGCAACGAGCGCAACCCUCGUUUUUAGUUGCCAGCAUUAAGUUGGGCACUCUAGAGAGACUGCCGGUGACAAACCGGAGGAAGGUGGGGAUGACGUCAAGUCAGCAUGCCCCUUACGUCUUGGGCUACACACGUACUACAAUGCUACGGACAAAGGGCAGCUACACAGCGAUGUGAUGCGAAUCUCGGAAACCGUAGCUCAGUUCAGAUCGAAGGCUGCAACUCGCCUUCGUGAAGGAGGAAUCGCUAGUAAUUGCAGGUCAGCAUACUGCAGUGAAUUCGUUCCCGGGCCUUGUACACACCGCCCGUCACACCAUGGAAGUUGGUCACGCCCGAAGUCGUUACCCCAACCGAAAGGGGGGGGAUGCCUAAGGUAGGACUGAUGACUGGGGUGAA